Molecule: ribosomal RNA, 249 nt
Filed under: uncultured Staphylococcus sp.
Lineage: Bacteria; Bacillati; Bacillota; Bacilli; Caryophanales; Staphylococcaceae
Description: partial 16S ribosomal RNA
Rfam family: Bacterial small subunit ribosomal RNA
Source: RNAcentral
CGUUAGCGGCGGACGGGUGAGUAACACGUGGGUAACCUACCUAUAAGACUGGGAUAACUCCGGGAAACCGGGGCUAAUACCGGAUAACACAUGAAACCGCAUGGUUUCAUGAUGAAAGACGGUUUUGCUGUCACUUAUAGAUGGAUCCGCGCCGCAUUAGCUAGUUGGUAAGGUAACGGCUUACCAAGGCAACGAUGCGUAGCCGACCUGGAGGGUGAUCGGCCACACUGGAACUGAGACACGGUCCAG